UUUAUGGAGAGUUUGAUCCUGGCUCAGGACGAACGCUGGCGGCGUGCUUAACACAUGCAAGUCGAACGGAAAGGCCUCAGCUUGCUGGGGUACUCGAGUGGCGAACGGGUGAGUAACACGUGGGUGAUCUGCCUCGUACUUCGGGAUAAGCCUGGGAAACUGGGUCUAAUACUGGAUAGGACCAUGCUUUAGUGUGUGUGGUGGAAAGUUUUUUCGGUACGAGAUGAGCCCGCGGCCUAUCAGCUUGUUGGUGGGGUAAUGGCCUACCAAGGCGUCGACGGGUAGCCGGCCUGAGAGGGUGGACGGCCACAUUGGGACUGAGAUACGGCCCAGACUCCUACGGGAGGCAGCAGUGGGGAAUAUUGCACAAUGGGCGCAAGCCUGAUGCAGCGACGCCGCGUGGGGGAUGACGGCCUUCGGGUUGUAAACCUCUUUCGCUAGGGACGAAGCUUUUUGUGACGGUACCUAGAUAAGAAGCACCGGCUAACUACGUGCCAGCAGCCGCGGUAAUACGUAGGGUGCGAGCGUUGUCCGGAAUUACUGGGCGUAAAGAGCUCGUAGGUGGUUUGUCGCGUCGUCUGUGAAAUUCCGGGGCUUAACUUCGGGCGUGCAGGCGAUACGGGCAUAACUUGAGUGCUGUAGGGGAGACUGGAAUUCCUGGUGUAGCGGUGGAAUGCGCAGAUAUCAGGAGGAACACCGAUGGCGAAGGCAGGUCUCUGGGCAGUAACUGACGCUGAGGAGCGAAAGCAUGGGGAGCGAACAGGAUUAGAUACCCUGGUAGUCCAUGCCGUAAACGGUGGGCGCUAGGUGUAGGGGUCUUCCACGACUUCUGUGCCGUAGCUAACGCAUUAAGCGCCCCGCCUGGGGAGUACGGCCGCAAGGCUAAAACUCAAAGGAAUUGACGGGGGCCCGCACAAGCGGCGGAGCAUGUGGAUUAAUUCGAUGCAACGCGAAGAACCUUACCUGGGCUUGACAUAUGCAGGAUCGGCGUAGAGAUACGUUUUCCCUUGUGGUCUGUAUACAGGUGGUGCAUGGUUGUCGUCAGCUCGUGUCGUGAGAUGUUGGGUUAAGUCCCGCAACGAGCGCAACCCUUGUCUUAUGUUGCCAGCACGUGAUGGUGGGGACUCAUGAGAGACUGCCGGGGUUAACUCGGAGGAAGGUGGGGAUGACGUCAAAUCAUCAUGCCCCUUAUGUCCAGGGCUUCACACAUGCUACAAUGGUCGGUACAACGCGCUGCGAGCCUGUGAGGGUGAGCGAAUCGCUGAAAGCCGGCCUCAGUUCGGAUUGGGGUCUGCAACUCGACCCCAUGAAGUCGGAGUCGCUAGUAAUCGCAGAUCAGCAACGCUGCGGUGAAUACGUUCCCGGGCCUUGUACACACCGCCCGUCACGUCAUGAAAGUUGGUAACACCCGAAGCCAGUGGCCUAACCUUUGUGGGAGGAGCUGUCGAAGGUGGGAUCGGCGAUUGGGACGAAGUCGUAACAAGGUAGCCGUACCGGAAGGUGCGGCUGGAUCACCUCCUUU
Molecule: ribosomal RNA, 1522 nt
Filed under: Corynebacterium rouxii
Lineage: Bacteria; Bacillati; Actinomycetota; Actinomycetes; Mycobacteriales; Corynebacteriaceae
Description: 16S ribosomal RNA
Rfam family: Bacterial small subunit ribosomal RNA
Source: RNAcentral